GUGGGGAAUUUUGGACAAUGGGCGCAAGCCUGAUCCAGCAAUGCCGCGUGCAGGAAGAAGGCCUUCGGGUUGUAAACUGCUUUUGUACGGAACGAAACGGUCCUGGUUAAUACCUGGGGCUAAUGACGGUACCGUAAGAAUAAGCACCGGCUAACUACGUGCCAGCAGCCGCGGUAAUACGUAGGGUGCGAGCGUUAAUCGGAAUUACUGGGCGUAAAGCGUGCGCAGGCGGUGCUGUAAGACAGGCGUGAAAUCACCGGGCUCAACCUGGGAAUUGCGCUUGUGACUGCAGUGCUGGAGUACGGCAGAGGGGGAUGGAAUUCCGCGUGUAGCAGUGAAAUGCGUAGAUAUGCGGAGGAACACCGAUGGCGAAGGCAAUCCCCUGGGCCUGCACUGACGCUCAUGCACGAAAGCGUGGGGAGCAAACAGGAUUAGAUACCCGAGUAGUCC
Molecule: ribosomal RNA, 450 nt
Filed under: uncultured bacterium
Lineage: Bacteria
Description: partial 16S ribosomal RNA
Rfam family: Bacterial small subunit ribosomal RNA
Source: RNAcentral